Molecule: non-coding RNA, 83 nt
Organism: Acanthosepion pharaonis
Lineage: Eukaryota; Metazoa; Mollusca; Cephalopoda; Sepiida; Sepiidae
Source: the annotation of a GenBank genome assembly
CCUGUACGAUCACCGAAGUUAAGAACCGUCGAGCCUGAUCAGUACCUAGAUGGGUGACCGCUUGGGAAUACCAGCUGCUGUAA